UACGUAGGGGGCGAGCGUUGUCCGGAUUUAUUGGGCGUAAAGAGCGUGUAGGCGGCCAGGUAGGUCCGUUGUGAAAACUCGAGGCUCAACCUCGAGACGUCGAUGGAAACCAUCUGGCUAGAGUCCGGAAGAGGAGAGUGGAAUUCCUAGUGUAGAGGUGAAAUUCGUAGAUAUUAGGAAGAACACCAGUGGCGAAGGCGGCUCACUGGCCCGGUACUGACGCUGAGGCGCGAAAGCGUGGGGAGCAAACAGG
This 253-nucleotide ribosomal RNA is filed under the name uncultured bacterium. RNAcentral describes it as "partial 16S ribosomal RNA". It matches the Rfam family "Bacterial small subunit ribosomal RNA", at positions 524 to 776 of the family's 1533-position model. The record is from RNAcentral.